RNAcentral lists this ribosomal RNA (250 nucleotides) under uncultured Verrucomicrobiota bacterium. RNAcentral's name for it is "uncultured Verrucomicrobia bacterium partial 16S ribosomal RNA". It matches the Rfam family "Bacterial small subunit ribosomal RNA", at positions 524 to 773 of the family's 1533-position model. The record is from RNAcentral. Lineage: Bacteria; Pseudomonadati; Verrucomicrobiota.
UACAGAGGUCCCAAGCGUUGUUCGGAUUCACUGGGCGUAAAGGGUGCGUAGGCGGCUUUGUUAGUCUGAUGUGAAAUCUCCAGGCUCAACCUCGAAACGGCAUUGGAUACUGUGAGGCUGGAGGACUGGAGGGGGAACUGGAAUGCUCGGUGUAGCAGUGAAAUGCGUAGAGAUCGAGAGGAACACCAGUGGCGAAGGCGAGUUCCUGGACAACACCUGACGCUGAGGCACGAAAGCCAGGGGAGCAAAC